AGUACGUGAAACUGCUUAGAGGUUAAGCCCGAUGAACUUGAAUAUCCGUUAUGGAAAAUUCAUCAUUAAUAUUAUAAUAUUUAUCAUAUUAUAAAAAUAGUGUGCAAUUUUUCCAUAUAAGGACAUUGUAAUCUGUUAAUGUAUUAAAUAUUUAUUAAAAGAUCUUAUACUUAAGUUUAUUUGAAUUUGUUAUCUUUGGAUUUCAAACAUAAAAUAAAUGUAUUUGAUUUAAUAAAUCAUUGACAGAUAUCAUUAUAUAUAGUGCUUAAAUUUUUUUAAAAAUUUUACAAUAGCAUAAUAAUUCUAUUUAUUGUGUUCAUUGUAUGCGCUUAUAUGAUUAACAAUGCAAUAGAUUCAGGAUACCUUCGGGACCCGUCUUGAAACACGGACCAAGGAGUCUAACAUAUGUGCGAGUCAUUGGGUAUUUUUAAUAAAACCCAAUGGCAUAAUUAACUUAACUGUUAUAUGGGAUUAGUUUAAAUUUUAUUAUGAAAUAUAAAUUCAAUCCSGGGGCGUUCUAUACAGUUAUGCAUAAUGGUAUUUAUAUUAUUUAUGCCUCUAACU
RNAcentral lists this ribosomal RNA (564 nucleotides) under Rhingia cuthbertsoni. Its description in RNAcentral is "partial 28S large subunit ribosomal RNA". The record is from RNAcentral. Lineage: Eukaryota; Metazoa; Arthropoda; Insecta; Diptera; Syrphidae.